UCUGCAGAUUGUUCUUGUAGCCCUAAGAGA
This 30-nucleotide non-coding RNA is filed under the name Rattus norvegicus (Norway rat). The record is from RNAcentral. Lineage: Eukaryota; Metazoa; Chordata; Mammalia; Rodentia; Muridae.